AUUAGUUCCUCUGACAUACACAUAAUUGGUUUGUGUUUUAUACAGUGCUACUGGCAAUGUUUGAAGCUCCAGUUGUUUCAAGUCUCUAUCGACACUCAUCAGUAUCAUCGGUCUUUUUAAUUCCAGCUAUUCUACAAGAGACACUAUCCCCAUCAGUCAGUGAGCUCCGGUGACUUCCCAUGCCUAGCUGGUCAGAAGAAACAGUUGAUUCUGCAGACUGAAGAAAUUUAAUGUGACUUCUCCAAGUCAACGUAGUACUUUAAGCACAACAUAUCUGUUACAAUCCAGUUUAAA
Talpa occidentalis (Iberian mole) is the source of this 294-nucleotide long non-coding RNA. RefSeq lists it as uncharacterized. NCBI's taxonomy places the organism in Eukaryota, Metazoa, Chordata, Mammalia, Eulipotyphla, Talpidae. The record is from RefSeq and is a predicted model, not a curated record. The transcript is spliced from 3 exons.